GGGGAAAAAAAUCAAAAAGAGCCGUUCCAUCCCCCCUCCAAGGACUGGGUUUGAAUUGCUUUUCAUCUGCAGUGGCUGUGAUUCAGCGUCCCUCUUAGCAGCAGGCAAUGACAGAGGCAGGAGAGGGGAAAAAAAAAAAGAAAGAAAGAAAAAACACAGCAAAUGAAUCAAACGGACGUAGCAGGCAAGAGUGUGGUUAUCGUUGGACCAGGAUUCAGGAUCUGACUGAGUAGCUGACUCUUAAUCCAGUUUGUGUUGAUCACCAGGAGGAUCUGGACCUCAGUAUUACCACAUCUAGAGCUAUAAUCACAUCCCUGUUAAGCCUUCCUGAGAUCACACCAAAUGUCCUUGAUGGGAAUUGUAAACAACCCUUACUUCUGGUUUCUAAUGAUAUUCCAGGAAAGGAGCCUAACUAGAGUCAGUGAUAUGCCAACUCCACCUUUGCCUUCCACCAUGUUUGGAAGCUCCCUGAGGCCUCACCAGGAGCAGAUGCUCGUCCCAUGCUUCCUAUAAGCCUGCAGAACUGCUGGCCAGGGGCAGUGGUUCAUGCCUGUAAACCCAGCACUUUGGGAGGCAAAGGCAGGAGGAUUGCUUAAGCCCAGGAAUUUGAGAUCAGCCUGGACAACAUGGUCAAGGAAGCUUUUCCUGAUCCACUAACUAAGGACAAUCAAACCCUUCAUGAUCUAGAAUCUGGAGACUGUGUCUUCUGGGAAUAGUAUCAGAGAAAGACUGCCCUUACUGCCCACAUGUAGCAAAACUUUGAGACGUUGAAUUAUGGGUCCAUAAUCUCACAACUCAGAGGGGCACCUCUAGACUCUUGGAACUGUAUAUCUAUUGGAGACUUUAAGGUAAAGCUGAACAGAGAGACGUUUUUCUCCAGAAGCAGACAGCACCAUAGUCAUGGACAGCUUUCCCAAGAUCACAGAUCAAGACUUCUCUGCCGUCAUGAGACUCAUAACCUCUUAAUUUUUUCUUGCUUAUGCUUCUGUGAACAAUAGAAUUGGAAAAGGGGUGGUCCCGCGUGCACCCAUAGGGUAUACUUUUAUUUGUGGAGGAUUUUGCUGCCAACCUUAUACAUGGGCAAACUUAUGCCUUCAUGGAUGGAAGAUAAAGGGCUAAUAUGGGUUAGAAAUUUUAAUGGUACCUUUGUUUCUCCAUAAUCAUUCAGAAACAGAACACUGGUCCACUCUUGUUAACCUACAUCAUAGGUUGAAGAGAACAUUGCCAGGAGGCCUUCAUCCUUCCAGAUGGGCACCAUUUGUUGGGUCUUUUUCCGUGGUAUGAAGAAAAUGAAGCAAUGAUUAGAAAUUGGUCCCUCGGCCGGGCACAAUGGCUCAUGCCUGUAAUCCCAUCACUUUGGCAGGCCGAGGCGGGUGGAUCACCUGAGGUCAGGAGUUUGAGACCAGCCUGACCAAUGUGGUGAAACGCCAUCUCUACUAAAAAUACAAAAAUUAGCUGGGUGUGAUGGUGCACACCUGUAAUCCAGCUACUCGGGAGGCUGAGACAGGAGAAUUGCUUGAACCUGGGAGGCAGAGGUUGCAGUGAGCCAAGAUCACCCCACUGCAUUCCAGGUUGGGCAACAG
This 1583-nucleotide long non-coding RNA is filed under the name Homo sapiens (human). Its description in RNAcentral is "RASSF8 antisense RNA 1". The record is from RNAcentral. Lineage: Eukaryota; Metazoa; Chordata; Mammalia; Primates; Hominidae.